CGCUUAAUUGGACUUUCACAAAGCACAUACCUUGACAAGAUUUUGAAGAAAUUCAAAAUGGAUCAAGCAAAGAAAGGAUUCUUGCCUGUAUUACAAGGUGUGAAAUUGAGUAAGACUCAAUGCCCGACCACUACAGAAGAUAGAGAGAAUAUGAAAGAUGUUCCCUAUGCAUCAGCCAUAGGCUCUAUCAUGUAUGCAAUGCUGUGUACCAGACCUGAUGUGUGCCUUGCUAUAAGUUUAGCAGGGAGGUACCAAAGUAAUCCAGGAGUGGAUCACUGGACAGCGGUCAAGAACAUCCUGAAAUACCUGAAAAGGACUAAGGAUAUGUUUCUCAUAUAUGGAGGUGACAAAGAGCUCACC
Molecule: ribosomal RNA, 360 nt
Filed under: Triticum aestivum (bread wheat)
Lineage: Eukaryota; Viridiplantae; Streptophyta; Magnoliopsida; Poales; Poaceae
Description: partial small subunit ribosomal RNA
Source: RNAcentral